AGCCGCCGCCCCGUCCGGGACCGCAGCACCUCGCAGGAGCCGCCCGGAGCGAGCGAGCCAGCGAGUGCCAGGGCGGGUGGUUUGGGACGGGGCCUCCUGCUGAGGGUCACUUGGGAACGUGCUAUUUGGUGCCAGAACUGGUUCUUCUCAGGAGAUGCUGAGGAGUGUGCCUGCCAGGGCAGUGCUUGCUGUCUACUUCCAAUUUGCUGCUAAGUAUCACGUGUUCUCUCUUGACUGAUGUUCAGCUUUUCCCUGGGGAAAAAAUCAGUAACUGAGAGGCACAAAGUAGCUUUACCUUCCUUGAUGCUGAGGAAUUAUAAUGAGAAAGAAAUCCUAGUAAAGGACCAGUUUCCUUUAUUCCAACUCAGCAUCACUGAAUUUGGCUUUGGGAAGUGGACUUUCCUCAAGCCCCGCUCCGUGUUUCAGCAGGGCCAGGGAGCAGACGGCGUCUCCUGUGUCCUUUGGAGAGCAGUGUGGGCAGUGCCUUGGGGUUCUCCGGAAAUACCUUCAGGAUCUGCUUACCCUACAGCUCGGAUAAAGGUUUUUCCAAAUGUGAAGACCCAGGUAGUAUUUUAUUUCCUCUAUUUUUCUUUGUCUUUGAUGUAAUGUUUCUUUUCUGGCUCUUCAAAAGUCUCUGAUUCUGGAAAUGCCAGGACAGAGUUCACAUAUCUAUAGUAUCCGUAGAGUGUGGAAAUUUUUUACAUUUGAUUGUCUCUCUCUGCAUAAGCUACUCAUCUAAAAGAAAGAAAGAAAGAAAGAAAUUUUCCAGGCAAGUAAGGCAGUUAUUUAUCCAAAUAGAUUUUUUUUAAGUUCUAAAGUUGCUAACCUUGAUUUCAAAAGAGCAUUGGUUAUAACCCUUUUCAAAAAAGAGAUCUGAUGGUCGGGAGUUGACCUAAUCAAAACAGUGCAUACCCAAUUUUUGGAAAAAUACAUUUUAUUGGUUUAAAUGUGGUUGUAAUUAGCACAGUGACUGUGCAAAAUGGCACCCUUGUCUUCAAUAUCACUGCACACUGUGUGUCAUCCAGCUAGUUUUCUGACAAAAACAUGAUCUCUUUUUUAAUUUGUUUACAAUUGCAUAUAUGUAGUUCUGAAUGAAUAAGCCAGGCGAUUAAUUUCUAAAUGAAGUAAUUAACACUUUCAAAGAAUUUUACUUUAAAAUUUCAAAGUGUGAGGUUUUCUAUUGGUGUAAAAUGAGCCUGGAGUAGGAGUCAGGAUGCUUGGGCCCUGGUCCUUGGCCCACCAAUGACACAACGACUUAGGGCCACCACGUUAGCUCUCUGUGUCUCGGUUUUCUCCUCUCUAGAGUGGGCAUAUUAACUCUCCCCUGUCAGUCUGAUGAAAUCAUAUCAGAAUCAAAACAGGUAUGUCAAAGUGCUCUGUAAACUGAAAAGCACCACACAAAUGCAGGGUGUUCAUAUUCUAAGGGGCUUGUCUAAUGUGUCACAACACAGUCCAAAGUGUCAUCCGAGGUGUUGUGUGAAACACAGUGGAAAUAAAGUGAAAUCUGCUUUGUUUCUCAAAUUGUUUUGCUCGGGUUGGAAAAUAAACUGAAUAAACUCGAGCAGAGACUUUGAAAAGAAUAAAUGUUGAAUUUUGGAAAUGCUGUCUUUACGUGAGUCUGGGUGUAAUCAGCUUUUAAACACAUCUUAGUCUGCUCUGAGUCAUGUUGCUGGGACCCUUGAUGAGGCUGUGGGGCAGAGUUAGCUAGGGUUGACAAUCGGCACUCCUUGUGCAUGUGCCCACCUGUGUGCGCAUUCACGUGGGGACGCACGGCAGCUGAGACCAGGGUUCUCACCAGGCGGUGUUUUGCCCUCUCCCCCUCCUCCAGGGAUAUUUGGCAAGGUCUUAAAACAUUUUUGAUUGUCGCAAUUGAGGCAGGGCUGUCGGGCUACAGGCACCUUCUGUGUUGAAAUCAGGGAUGCUGCUCAACAUCCUGUAACGCACAGGACAGCGCCCACAACAAAGUGUCCGGCCUGAAACGUCAGUGGUGCUGAGGCUGGGAAGCAGCCCUACACAGUGGGGUGUUUGUGUUUAAAACAAGUCAGAACACUCAUCAAGUUCUUGCUGGGUCUUGGGUAUGCUGCCCAGGGGUGGAAGAAGAGUUUGUCUAGUCAAAGGAACCCAGCUCUCUGCCCCGUGUGAAGGUCGAGAUUGUUUCCUACUGGUGUCCACAAUGAGUGAGGCUUUUACUGUCUUGAUUGAAGAAAUGUCUUUCCUCUUCCUUUUCUGUAACUGCUCUGCUCUCAAGUUCCUCUGCGGCCGCAGCACAUUCUCUGGGCGUGUCAGCCUUUGGGGGGAGGAAGCACA
Long non-coding RNA from Diceros bicornis minor, 2307 nucleotides. RefSeq lists it as uncharacterized. The transcript is spliced from 3 exons. The record is from RefSeq and is a predicted model, not a curated record. NCBI's taxonomy places the organism in Eukaryota, Metazoa, Chordata, Mammalia, Perissodactyla, Rhinocerotidae.